CCCUUAGAUGUUCUGGGCUGCACACGUGCUACACUGGCAGGUUCAGCGAGCUUCGUGCCCUGAUCUGAAAGGAAUGGGAAAUCUUUUCAAAACCUGCCGUGCUUGGGAUAGAUGUUUGCAAUUAUUCAUCUUCAACGAGGAAUGCCUAGUAAACGCAAGUCAUCAGCUUGCAUUGAUUACGUCCCUGCCCUUUGUACACACCGCCCGUCGCUCCUACCGAUUGAAUGAUCCGAUGAAUACCAUGGAUUGAGAGUACGAAUAGGUUCGCUUAUUUCUGCUUCUCGAGAAGUGGAGUAAAUCUUAUCAUUUAGAGGAAGGAGAAGUCGUAACA
RNAcentral lists this ribosomal RNA (331 nucleotides) under uncultured eukaryote. Its description in RNAcentral is "partial 18S ribosomal RNA". It matches the Rfam family "Eukaryotic small subunit ribosomal RNA", at positions 1470 to 1796 of the family's 1831-position model. The record is from RNAcentral.